RNAcentral lists this ribosomal RNA (492 nucleotides) under uncultured bacterium. Its description in RNAcentral is "partial 16S ribosomal RNA". It matches the Rfam family "Bacterial small subunit ribosomal RNA", at positions 29 to 507 of the family's 1533-position model. The record is from RNAcentral.
AGUGAACGCUGGCGGUAGGCCUAACACAUGCAAGUCGAACGGCAGCACAGUAAGAGCUUGCUCUUACGGGUGGCGAGUGGCGGACGGGUGAGGAAUACAUCGGAAUCUACUUUUUCGUGGGGGAUAACGUAGGGAAACUUACGCUAAUACCGCAUACGACCUACGGGUGAAAGCAGGGGAUCUUCGGACCUUGCGCGAUUGAAUGAGCCGAUGUCGGAUUAGCUAGUUGGCGGGGUAAAGGCCCACCAAGGCGACGAUCCGUAGCUGGUCUGAGAGGAUGAUCAGCCACACUGGAACUGAGACACGGCCCAGACUCCUACGGGAGGCAGCAGUGGGGAAUAUUGGACAAUGGGCGCAAGCCUGAUCCAGCCAUACCGCGUGGGCGAAGAAGGCCUUCGGGUUGUAAAGCCCUUUUGUUGGGAAAGAAAAGCAGCAGGUUAAUACCCCGCUGUUCUGACGGUACCCAAAGAAUAAGCACCGGCUAACUUCGUG